RNAcentral lists this long non-coding RNA (220 nucleotides) under Mytilus galloprovincialis (Mediterranean mussel). Lineage: Eukaryota; Metazoa; Mollusca; Bivalvia; Mytilida; Mytilidae. The record is from RNAcentral.
AUGUACUAUAGAAUAACUGUGAACUUCAGCUUUGUUUCAAUAUUUGUGUUCUCCUGGUUUUUUCCCCAGCAUUCCAGUUUAGUGCCAAGCUAAUUUUUUCAGUUGUUUAAACUACCAAUGCAUAAGAUUAUCAUCGUUAUAUAAGUUCUUAAAAAAAUCCCCGGCAUUUGCAAUCGUGACAUAAAUGGUCAUUUCACGACGCUUUUUUAUUAAUUUUCAC